Molecule: long non-coding RNA, 339 nt
Organism: Eptesicus fuscus (big brown bat)
Lineage: Eukaryota; Metazoa; Chordata; Mammalia; Chiroptera; Vespertilionidae
Exons: 3
Source: RefSeq, a predicted model, not a curated record
CUCCCGACCGCGGCCCCAUCCAGCUUCCCGGCGCCACCAAUGGCGCCGGCCUUGGGUCGAGGGGAGGCGCCGGGGCUGACACUCACCGGCAACCAGGGAAACACAACGCAAGCCAGGGAAACUCUGUAAGAUGGGAUGAAGAAUUAAGGGAGAACAUUGCUGCACAGUUACUGGCAUAUAGCAGGUAUCAAGAAGUAUUUUUGAGUGAAUGUCAAUUGAAGAUCCAGUUCAAAGACCCCCUCUAGAAAGGUCUUCCGAUUAUCAAGACCUAAAAUCCUGCUCUCCAACUUUGUACCCCUUUUGUAGCUAUCAAGCAAUAAAUACAGUUAUGCAAUAUUU